Molecule: ribosomal RNA, 433 nt
Filed under: uncultured bacterium
Lineage: Bacteria
Description: partial 16S ribosomal RNA
Rfam family: Bacterial small subunit ribosomal RNA
Source: RNAcentral
AACGAACGCUGGCGGCAUGCCUAACACAUGCAAGUCGAACGAGACCUUCGGGUCUAGUGGCGCACGGGUGCGUAACGCGUGGGAACCUUCCCUUAGGUUCGGAAUAACUCCCCGAAAGGGGUGCUAAUACCGGAUAAUGUCUUCGGACCAAAGAUUUAUCGCCUUUGGAUGGGCCCGCGUUGGAUUAGCUCGUUGGUAGGGUAAAAGCCUACCAAGGCGACGAUCCAUAGCUGGUCUGAGAGGAUGAUCAGCCACACUGGGACUGAGACACGGCCCAGACUCCUACGGGAGGCAGCAGUGGGGAAUAGUGGACAAUGGGCGAAAGCCUGAUCCAGCAAUGCCGCGUGAGUGAUGAAGGCCUUAGGGUUGUAAAGCGCUUUUAACCGGGAUGAUAAUGACAGUACCGGGAGAAUAAGCUCCGGCUAACUCCGUG